CAGCCGCCACGGUAACACGAAGGGGGCUAGCGUUGUUCGGAUUUACUGGGCGUAAAGCGCACGUAGGCGGACUUUUAAGUCAGGGGUGAAAUCCCGGGGCUCAACCCCGGAACUGCCUUUGAUACUGGGAGUCUUGAGUUCGAGAGAGGUGAGUGGAAUUGCGAGUGUAGAGGUGAAAUUCGUAGAUAUUCGCAGGAACACCAGUGGCGAAGGCGGCUCACUGGCUCGAUACUGACGCUGAGGUGCGAAAGCGUGGGGAGCAAACAGGAUUAGAUACCCCUGUAGUCCCUGUCUCUUAUAC
This 301-nucleotide ribosomal RNA is filed under the name uncultured bacterium. Its description in RNAcentral is "partial 16S ribosomal RNA". It matches the Rfam family "Bacterial small subunit ribosomal RNA", at positions 509 to 807 of the family's 1533-position model. The record is from RNAcentral.